CAAUAGCGUAUAUUAACGUUGUUGCAGUUAAAAAGCUCGUAGUUGGAUUUCUGGAGGGAGCGUCGGCCCGUAUUUACGAGUGCGUGACGUCUCUGUCCAUCCUUGCGGGAAGGCACGGCAUUGAUUUGUUGUGUCGGAUCGCAUCAUUUACUGUGAAAAAAUUAGAGUGUUCAAAGCAGGCUUUCGCUUGAAUACAUUAGCAUGGAAUAAUAAGAUAGGACUUUGGUGCUAUUUUGUUGGUUUCGAACACCGAAGUAAUGAUGAGAAGGGACAGUCAGGGGCACUCGUAUUCCGCAGAGAGAGGUGAAAUUCUCAGACCCGCGGAAGACGAACCACUGCGAAAGCAUUUGCCAGGGAUGUUUUCACUGA
Molecule: ribosomal RNA, 369 nt
Filed under: uncultured eukaryote
Lineage: Eukaryota
Description: partial 18S ribosomal RNA
Rfam family: Eukaryotic small subunit ribosomal RNA
Source: RNAcentral